This 119-nucleotide ribosomal RNA is filed under the name Carlito syrichta (Philippine tarsier). The record is from RNAcentral. Lineage: Eukaryota; Metazoa; Chordata; Mammalia; Primates; Tarsiidae.
GUCUGUGUUCCUGUCACCUUGAAUGUGCCUGCUCUCCCCUGAUCUUGGAAGCUAGGCAGGGUCAGGCUUGGUUAGUACUUGGAUGGGAGACUGCCUGGGAAUACUGGGCAGUCUGUGCU